CUCUUUCUCCACUCUAAACGAUUACAAAAUUCACAAGCAGCCCAACAAAUUUGAUCAAAAUUUGACUUGUGUUUGGGAGCACAUAUCUCACUGCAGAUGGAAAUAUGAUGUUGUCUCCUUGUGCUAAUAGGUUGCGAUUCGAAGGACUUGGUAAUAGGCAUUUAUUAAUUGUAGUCUUUUUCAUCUUAAUUUGAGAAGAAAUGGGUGUCCUUUGUUGUUGCCAUCAAAGAGGCAAAGAGAAAUCAGUUAUUGGUUCCUUCAAUAGCCAAAUUCAUAAGCGCUUUUUAACUUUUAAAAUUGAAGAAAGUAGAGAAUUUGAAUAAAUAAAACAACCAAAAUCUAAAACCAAAACUCAGAAUAUAAGUAAAAUACAUUGCUGGAGGAUCUUGGACUUUAUCAAUGAUGCAGGGAGAGGCCCAUUUGGUAAAGAAGAAGAACAAAUCCAAGGAGGUCGAUAUGGUAAAGAUUAAGAUGCGACUCUAGAUACUUGGUUUCUUUCUCAUCUUUUCUUGAUAAGAAGAAAAUAAUAUUUGGAAUAAGCUUGGCUUACUUGUUUAGAAGAACAAGAGCCAAAUAUAAUGGAACUUAAAGAGAAAUAAGGAUUAAGGAUUUGAUAGUAAUUGAGAUUUUCAAUACAAUGAUGUGUUCUUGAAGUUUAUUUGGAGAAAUAAGUAUUUUUUAAUUAAAUAUCUUAAUUCAAUUUUUUUGAAAAGCUUUUUUAAAUUCUUAUAUCACUUGUGGGAUCCAUAAAAUAUUAAAAAAAAAUCAUUUUAUUGGAUGCACACUGCCACAUGAGUGUAGGCGAUGGUGUUAAAGCUCAAGGUACUCUCUUGUCAAUAAUUGAACCAUAGGUCUCAAAGUGCGUGAAAUCACAUGGUAUUUUUUUUUUUUUUUAAAAAGUAUGCAUACAAUCCCAUCCUCAUUUUUAGUUCUAUAUUAUGUGCUAAUUCACUCCCAUUUGCAUUCUUAAGAAAUUGAAUUUCUUGACUAUAUAUUGAUCUUUGUAUUUGAUUUUUUGGACAAAUACAUGUACGCAUGCCUAUGCACACUGUGAGCAUGCACAUGUACAUAUGUUUAUAUAAGUCUUCACAUGUGUAAUUGGUUCUUUCAGUAUUGUCGAUUGCAAUUUAAUUUGAACUGAUGCAUCUAUUAAUUAAAGUCUCAGCCAACUAUUACACUACUUAAUGAAACUUGGAUUCGAUUCACUCAUGGCAUAUAAGUAGACUAUGGCUGCUUCGUUUGGUUUGCAGAAUGGUAUGGAACAGGGUGGUAAUAGAAUAGUUAUUCCUAAAUUUGGUGCAAAAUAAAUGUGGAAUAUCAUUCCAUUGAAUAGCAAUUUUAGGAUUUAAUGUUUUUACUAAAUUUUAAAAUGUGCAAUAAUUAUUUUAUAUAACAAAUACUUUAAAAUUAGAAUGGUAUAAAUUCAAAAAAAUUAAGUGAAGAAUAGCUAUUCUAUUCUAUCACUAUGAAUAGCUAUUCCAUUCCUUGAACCAAAAAAGUCGAAACAGUUAAAUCAUAUUGAUUGUUAUGCUGUUAACAUGUUUGAAAUUAGAUAGUAUAACUAGACUUUUACCGAACUGAGCCAAGCUUGGAUGGAUCAAAACUCUGUUCAUAGCCCAUUAAGAUUACAGUAAAUAUGAAUUACUUUGGCUUGCAUUGCUUUCUCCCCUCUGUGUUUAAUACUCACAAAGACGGGGUUCUGCUGAAACUGAUUCCUCUUAUUAAUGCAAGGUAGGUUUUUUGCUCCCCCCCCCCCUCCCCCCCUCCCUCCUCUUUCAUUUUCAUCCUGUUGUGGAUGUUCCCAAAAUCAGAAGCAGCAAGUAAUAACCAUAUGACAUUUUUAUGACAUUUUUCAGGCCCAUGUAGGAGUUGCAUUA
RNAcentral lists this unclassified non-coding RNA (1877 nucleotides) under Hevea brasiliensis (rubber tree). Lineage: Eukaryota; Viridiplantae; Streptophyta; Magnoliopsida; Malpighiales; Euphorbiaceae. The record is from RNAcentral.